GAGAAUGCAGGCAUGAGUAGCGUGUGACGGGUGGGAAUCCCGUCCGCCGAUUAUCCAAGGGUUCCAGGGUCAAGUUUGUCUGCCCUGGGUGAGUCGGGUCCUAAGGCGAGGCCGACAGGCGUAGUCGAUGGUUAACGGGUUGAUAUUCCCGUACCCGUAUAUGUGCGUCCAUGGUGAAUCAGUGAUACUAACCAUCCACAAGUCUUCCGCUGCUGUCUUUGAUGGUGGUGGUUGGGGCGUGCGUGGAGCCUGAUCUGGUAGUAGCUAAGUGAUGGGGUGACGCAGUGGGGUAGCUGAGCCACUUAUUGGAUUGUGGUGCAAGCGUGUAGGGCGAUCGGUAGGUAAAUCCGCCGGUCAUGAUGCCUGAGGCGUGAUGCGUAGCCCCUUUUUGGGGUGAUGUUGGUGAUCCCGUGCUGUCGAGAAAAGCCUCUAGCGAGUGCAUAUAUGGCCCGUACCCUAAACCGACACAGGUAGUCAGGUAGAGAAUACUAAGGCGUUCGGGUGAACUGUGGUUAAGGAACUCGGCAAAAUGCCCCCGUAACUUCGGGAGAAGGGGGGCCAUUGCUGGUGAUACAUCUUGCAUGUUGAGCUGGUGGUGGUCGCAGAGAAUAGAGGGAAGCGACUGUUUAUUAAAAACACAGGUCCGUGCGAAAACGAUUAAGUUGAGGUAUACGGACUGACGCCUGCCCGGUGCUGGAAGGUUAAGAGGACCUGUUAGCUGUUAAAGGCGAAGCGGAGAAUUUAAGCCCCAGUAAACGGCGGUGGUAACUAUAACCAUCCUAAGGUAGCGAAAUUCCUUGUCGGGUAAGUUCCGACCUGCACGAAUGGCGUAACGACUUCCCAGCUGUCUCAACCGCGAACUCGGCGAAAUUGCACUACGAGUAAAGAUGCUCGUUACGCGCGGCAGGACGAAAAGACCCCGGGACCUUCACUAUAGCUUGGUAUUGGUGUUCGAUUCGGUUUGUGUAGGAUAGGUGGGAGACUGUGAUCACAUGGCGCUAGUUGUGUGUGAGUCGUUGUUGAAAUACCACUCUGAUCGGAUUGGAUACCUUCAACCUUGGCCCAUGAUCUGGGUCGGGGACAGUGCCUGGUGGGUAGUUUAACUGGGGCGGUUGCCUCCUAAAGAGUAACGGAGGCGCCCAAAGGUUCCCUCAGCUUGGUUGGUAAUCAGGUGUUGAGUGUAAGUGCACAAGGGAGCUUGACUGUGAGACAGACAUGUCGAGCAGGGACGAAAGUCGG
Molecule: ribosomal RNA, 1239 nt
Filed under: Schizochytrium aggregatum
Lineage: Eukaryota; Bigyra; Thraustochytrida; Thraustochytriidae
Description: partial Bacterial large subunit ribosomal RNA
Rfam family: Bacterial large subunit ribosomal RNA
Source: RNAcentral